This 492-nucleotide ribosomal RNA is filed under the name uncultured bacterium. Its description in RNAcentral is "partial 16S ribosomal RNA". It matches the Rfam family "Bacterial small subunit ribosomal RNA", at positions 29 to 507 of the family's 1533-position model. The record is from RNAcentral.
AGUGAACGCUGGCGGUAGACCUAACACAUGCAAGUCGAAUGGCAGCACAGUAAGAGCUUGCUCUUACGGGUGGCGAGUGGCGGACGGGUGAGGAAUACAUCGGAAUCUACUUUUUCGUGGGGGAUAACGUAGGGAAACUUACGCUAAUACCGCAUACGACCUACGGGUGAAAGCAGGGGAUCUUCGGACCUUGCGCGAUUGAAUGAGCCGAUGUCGGAUUAGCUAGUUGGCGGGGUAAAGGCCCACCAAGGCGACGAUCCGUAGCUGGUCUGAGAGGAUGAUCAGCCACACUGGAACUGAGACACGGUCCAGACUCCUACGGGAGGUAGCAGUGGGGAAUGUUGGACAAUGGGCGCAAGCCUGAUCCAGCCAUACCGCGUGGGUGAAGAAGGCCUUCGGGUUGUAAAGCCCUUUUGUUGGGAAAGAAAAGCAGCAGGUUAAUACCCCGCUGUUCUGACGGUACCCAAAGAAUAAGCACCGGCUAACUUCGUG